UCCGUAGGUGACCUGCGGAAGGAUCAUUACAGAGUUCAUGCCCGAAAGGGUAGACCUCCCACCCUUGUGUAUUAUUACUUUGUUGCUUUGGCGAGCUGCCUUCGGGCCUUGUAUGCUCGCCAGAGAAAACCAAAACUCUUUUUAUUAAUGUCGUCUGAGUACUAUAUAAUAGUUAAAACUUUCAACAACGGAUCUCUUGGUUCUGGCAUCGAUGAAGAACGCAGCGAAAUGCGAUAAGUAAUGUGAAUUGCAGAAUUCAGUGAAUCAUCGAAUCUUUGAACGCACAUUGCGCCCCUUGGUAUUCCGGGGGGCAUGCCUGUUCGAGCGUCAUUUCAACCCUCAAGCUUAGCUUGGUAUUGAGUCUAUGUCAGUAAUGGCAGGCUCUAAAAUCAGUGGCGGCGCCGCUGGGUCCUGAACGUAGUAAUAUCUCUCGUUACAGGUUCUCGGUGUGCUUCUGCCAAAACCCAAAUUUUUCUAUGGUUGACCUCGGAUCAGGUAGGGAUACCCGCUGAACUUAAGCAUAUAAAA
This 528-nucleotide ribosomal RNA is filed under the name Botrytis cinerea. RNAcentral describes it as "eukaryotic LSU rRNA". The stretch from base 177 to 330 matches the Rfam family "5.8S ribosomal RNA". The record is from RNAcentral. Lineage: Eukaryota; Fungi; Ascomycota; Leotiomycetes; Helotiales; Sclerotiniaceae.